This 701-nucleotide ribosomal RNA is filed under the name Escherichia coli. RNAcentral describes it as "partial 23S ribosomal RNA". It matches the Rfam family "Bacterial large subunit ribosomal RNA", at positions 2248 to 2925 of the family's 2925-position model. Lineage: Bacteria; Pseudomonadati; Pseudomonadota; Gammaproteobacteria; Enterobacterales; Enterobacteriaceae. The record is from RNAcentral.
CGGACAGUGUCUGGUGGGUAGUUUGACUGGGGCGGUCUCCUCCUAAAGAGUAACGGAGGAGCACGAAGGUUGGCUAAUCCUGGUCGGACAUCAGGAGGUUAGUGCAAUGGCAUAAGCCAGCUUGACUGCGAGCGUGACGGCGCGAGCAGGUGCGAAAGCAGGUCAUAGUGAUCCGGUGGUUCUGAAUGGAAGGGCCAUCGCUCAACGGAUAAAAGGUACUCCGGGGAUAACAGGCUGAUACCGCCCAAGAGUUCAUAUCGACGGCGGUGUUUGGCACCUCGAUGUCGGCUCAUCACAUCCUGGGGCUGAAGUAGGUCCCAAGGGUAUGGCUGUUCGCCAUUUAAAGUGGUACGCGAGCUGGGUUUAGAACGUCGUGAGACAGUUCGGUCCCUAUCUGGCGUGGGCGCUGGAGAACUGAGGGGGGCUGCUCCUAGUACGAGAGGACCGGAGUGGACGCAUCACUGGUGUUCGGGUUGUCAUGCCAAUGGCACUGCCCGGUAGCUAAAUGCGGAAGAGAUAAGUGCUGAAAGCAUCUAAGCACGAAACUUGCCCCGAGAUGAGUUCUCCCUGACUCCUUGAGAGUCCUGAAGGAACGUUGAAGACGACGACGUUGAUAGGCCGGGUGUGUAAGCGCAGCGAUGCGUUGAGCUAACCGGUACUAAUGAACCGUGAGGCUUAACCUUACAACGCCGAAGGUGUUU